Molecule: unclassified non-coding RNA, 333 nt
Filed under: soil metagenome
Description: partial contains 5.8S ribosomal RNA, internal transcribed spacer 2, and large subunit ribosomal RNA
Rfam family: 5.8S ribosomal RNA (bases 1-120)
Source: RNAcentral
GAUGAAGAACGUAGUGAAAUGCGAUAAGUAGUGUGAAUUGCAGAAUUCAGUGAAUCAUCGAAUCUUUGAACACCCAUUGCGCCCCUCGGUAUUCCGUGGGGCAUGCCUGUUCGAGCGUCAUUUACCCCUCAAGCACUGCUUGGUGUUGGGCGUCUGUCCCGCUUCGCGCGCGGACUCGCCCCAAAGGUAUUGGCAGCGGUCGUGCCAGCUUCUCGCGCAGCACAUUGCGCUUCUCGAGGCGGUCGAUCGGCGUCCACGAAGCUCACCUCCACCGUUUGACCUCGGAUCAGGUAGGGAUACCCGCUGAACUUAAGCAUAUCAAUAAGCGGAGGA